AAAAAAAGUUAAACUUACUUCUUGGGUUAAUACGAUUUGUAAACCCCCCCCAACGGAUGAUAGAACUUCCAUUCAAUACUCCAAAGUAACUGUACACAUAACGGACAUAUUUGCUCAAAAUAAUGUUCAAAAUAUUCUGAAUUCUGUAGAAGUGUUCAUCUUUCUCCAACCACGAAGAGUCAGUUUAUAGCAGACACAUGGAAGAGAAGCCUUGACCCUACAAACCCCCCCCCCAUUUUCAAUAUCACCAUGUUUUAGUACAUUGUUAUGCUAGGAUUCUGUUUCAUUGUUGAACAUUUAAGGUAAACAUAAUUGAAAUACCAUAGUUUGUACUGCUUAUGUAUUCUCAUACGUGGGUUUCAGUACCUGCCCGGUAUGGUUUUGUCAAAAAGAUGUAUAUAUUUAAAUUGUGUAAGUUACCAUUAGACAAUAGUCAAGCUGCAGGUUUCUUUUUUAGGCUGCGGUAAUUUUGUCCUGUCCAUCGCAUCACUGUUACAUCAUAAUUCCAUAGAUGUAUUUCAGACAAAAAUAGUAUCUUCUGGUAUGUUAAAGGCAGCCUGCACUUAGAUGUACAUCAAGGCACUGCCCACAAAUCUCAGUUAUGCCACAGUAUUCCCACCAUUCUUUAAAAAAUAUAUUAGUCUGUUAGAUAAAGAAUUCCAAGUAAUAUAAGCAACAAAGAACUCAGCUAAGAUGAAAAUAAAACUAACUUAGUGCACCUUGUAUGUUUAACUCCUUGUAAAGCUAGACUUGACUGCAAC
This is a non-coding RNA of Pelobates cultripes (western spadefoot toad), 761 nucleotides long. The record is from the annotation of a GenBank genome assembly. Lineage: Eukaryota; Metazoa; Chordata; Amphibia; Anura; Pelobatidae.